This is a long non-coding RNA of Parus major (Great Tit), 1486 nucleotides long. RefSeq lists it as uncharacterized. The transcript is spliced from 2 exons. The record is from RefSeq and is a predicted model, not a curated record. NCBI's taxonomy places the organism in Eukaryota, Metazoa, Chordata, Aves, Passeriformes, Paridae.
CAGCGGGAACGGGGGGAAACAGCGGCAACUAUCAGCGGGAACAGGGGAACCACGGGAACUAUGGUGCCCACCGCCAGAACAGGGCCGGAAAGGCCCAUCCAGGGCCAUCUCUCAUGGAUCACUAUCGUGCGCCGUCUGAGAAUGAUAACACUGGAAAAGAUAACACUUUCACAUUGCUGUAGAAUGCCCUGCAUUAUUAAGCUCGAAAAUAAAGUAUUUAUAAAGUAUUUUCCGGACAGUUAUUUAUUAAAGGCAGUAGUGUCACUCUGCUCUACGCUAAGGGCCCCAGGUAUGCAAACCCAAAAUUGUAAGGCAGCUUCACUUUACACAAGCAGAAACAUUUAAAUCUGUGCAUGUGUCAAUGAAGGAAUUCAGCGAAAUACAAAGCACACUAUCUUACAAAAGUAGGUAGGCAUUUUCUGUUCCUGUAGUAAUUCAGAAUAACACCAACAUGACUGUUUAAACAAGAUCACAGGGAAAAAAGCUGAAGGAAACAGUGACAAGAGUAUUUUCUGUGCUCUUACAACCUCCCCAUGAGGGCAAAAUAUAAUUAAAAUGAAAAAAACCCAAGAAAUUAAAGAGGUUCCUACACCAUCAGGAGGAAUAGGUGAUGACAAGCAUAAGUACACCCAUUUGCUCAAGCAAUCAUCACAUGCUUCUGAUCAUAAGGCAGAUGCAAUCAGACUGGAAUUGCCACUUGUAGAGUUGUCUUGUUUUGGAUCAGACAUCAACACAGCCCAAGGAAUGGAAAACAAGAUCUCAGUAUUAUCAAAAGGAGAUGGCUCCUACUGACAGCAACAGGAUUAUUAAAAGGCAGUCAGUGAAUUCAGCCAUUACACCCUGCAGAUUCCCUGAAGGACUGUAAUUCAACAUACUUGCUCCUUAACUACAGUCUGUUACCAGCUAACUUUCCUCCUUGGCACAAUAAAAGGGCUGGUUUUUUGUUUAAAGAGUUGCAGUUCUUUGCUUUAGUAGCAAAUGUAGAUAGCACAGCAGACGGACACUUUAAAUGAUAAACAAACAGUGCUAAUUUCCUUUUCAUUUUGAAAAGAAGAAAACGUUAUAAACAACAAUUGACAGCUGAGUACCUCCCUAAAAAGUGCACAGUAAGAGGGAUAUGACAGAGAUGGAAAAGGCACUUGACAGAACAGAUGGAAGUGGAUCUGGCAGGGGAUCUCUAGGAAACAGAAGGAGUUUUGUUACUGGUGUUAAGGGAGCAACAUUGCCUAUAGUUAAUAGAGCACUUCAGAUAUGGAAUAGUAUAUUUGUUUUUACGUAGAAAAUUGUGUGAAGUUCAUUGUUAAGUCAGUUCUCAUCUUCAUGACAUAUGUAUCACAAGUUCUGCAGCUACAGACUGCUUGAUCUUUGAGGGCAAUUUAUGUUUAAGACCUUAUUGCUGCUGUUAAAUCGCAGUAUUCAAGGAGAAAUUUACAGCAUUUCUGGAAAACCCCAUGGAGACAAAUACAGACUUUAGCCUUGUUCAGCA